UCCUCAAAGACAGUGGGUGAGGACAGGC
RNAcentral lists this non-coding RNA (28 nucleotides) under Homo sapiens (human). The record is from RNAcentral. Lineage: Eukaryota; Metazoa; Chordata; Mammalia; Primates; Hominidae.